Canis lupus familiaris (dog) is the source of this 83-nucleotide non-coding RNA. NCBI's taxonomy places the organism in Eukaryota, Metazoa, Chordata, Mammalia, Carnivora, Canidae. The record is from Rfam.
GCCUGGGUGGCUCAGUGGUUGAGCAUCUGCCUUCAGCUCAGGUCAUGAUCCCAGGGUCCUGAGAUCGAGUCUCAUAUCAGGCU